UUGGAAACGAUGGCUAAAACUGGAUAGGAACAUUUGAGGCAUCUUAAAUGUUUUAAAAGACCUAGCAAUAGGUAUGCUUAAGGAGGGGCCUGCCGCGCAUUAUUUAGUUGGUGAGGUAGCGGCUCACCAACACGAUGAUGCUUACCCGGACUGCUGAGUUGAACGGCCCCCUUGGGACUGAUGANCCGCCCACCCUCCUACUGGAGGCAGCAGUAGGGAAUUUUCGGCAAUGGGGGAAACCCUGACCGACCAACGCCGCGUGAAUGACGAAGUACUUCCGUAUGUAAAGUUCUUUUAUUGGGGAAGAAUGGAACAUGGAAAAACGUAUAUGACGGUACCUACUGAAUAAGCCCCGGC
RNAcentral lists this ribosomal RNA (357 nucleotides) under uncultured bacterium. RNAcentral's name for it is "bacterial SSU rRNA". It matches the Rfam family "Bacterial small subunit ribosomal RNA", at positions 150 to 497 of the family's 1533-position model. The record is from RNAcentral.